RNAcentral lists this ribosomal RNA (301 nucleotides) under uncultured bacterium. RNAcentral's name for it is "partial 16S ribosomal RNA". It matches the Rfam family "Bacterial small subunit ribosomal RNA", at positions 509 to 807 of the family's 1533-position model. The record is from RNAcentral.
CAGCCGCCACGGGAACACGAAGGGGGCUAGCGUUGCUCGGAAUGACUGGGCGUAAAGGGCGCGUAGGCGGCGAUCAAAGUCAGGCGUGAAAUUCCUGGGCUCAACCUGGGGGCUGCGCUUGAUACUUGGUUGCUUGAGUGGGGAAGAGGGUCGUGGAAUUCCCAGUGUAGAGGUGAAAUUCGUAGAUAUUGGGAAGAACACCGGUGGCGAAGGCGGCGACCUGGUCCUUGACUGACGCUGAGGCGCGAAAGCGUGGGGAGCAAACAGGAUUAGAUACCCCAGUAGUCCCUGUCUCUUAUAC